AAGAGUUUUGAGUUGGUUUUUUGGCUGAGCCUGCCGAGGAAGGCAGGCCCCUGCAGGAGUCUUGGAGGGUCGGAUGCAGCGCCCGGAUGAGGAUGAGGCGUGGCGGAAGAUGCGUUUGGCUCUGCAGACACUGCAUCGGGCAGCAGGGGACUCUGGGAGGCUGGUGCAGCCUGAAGGCAUGGCUCUUGACAGCCUUCUAGUAGAAUCUCUGGAAUUGUGCAUGGCAGAAGAGGAAAGAAACUAACGGGUAUUGCGCACCUACUGUGUGCCAGACCCAGGCCAGGUUCCCCCUGCCUCCAGCCAGUCUGUGCAGACUUGUUGCCUGCUGUGUCACCGCGAGCGCGAAGGCUGGGAAGAAGGCCCUUCACAGAAUGGACUGGUGUUGCAGGAUUUCCUUGUCACAUACAUCCUGCAAAUCACAGUCUUGUGGGGGUGACUCUCAUUCAUCCUCGUCCUCUUCAUCAUCCUCAUCUUCCUCCUCCUCUUCCUGCCAUGGGAACUCAGGGGACUGGGAUCCCAGCUCGUUCCUGUCAGCACAUAAGCUCUCAGGCCUCUGGAAUUCCCCACACUCCAGCGGAGCUGUGCCAGGCAGCUCGCUUGGGAGUCCUCCUGUCAUCCCUGGUGAGGCUUUCCCUGUCUCGGAGCGCCACCAGCACUCAGACCUCACUGCUCCCCCUAACAGUCCUACUGGCCCUGCCCCCCAUCCAGCAUCUCUGAUCCCUUCUCACCCUGGCUCCUUCAGCUCGGCAUCCCACCCACACCUGCUGCCCACCACCCCAGCAGCACCCUUCCCUGCCCAGGCUUCAGAGUGCCCUAUGGCUGCUGCCACUGCCACCCACCCCCCAGGGCCAUGUCAGAGCCCUCAUCUGCCCUCCACCAGCAUGCCACUUCUGAAGAUGCCUCCACCACUCCCGGGGUGCAGCCACCCCUGCAGCGGGCACUGCAGCGGGCACUGUGGUGGGCCUCUCCUCCCACCACCGAGCUCUCAGCCACUCCCUAGCACUCACAGCAGGGACCCUGGGUGCAAGGGGCACAAAUUUGCACACAGUGGCCUGGCCUGUGAGGCCGAUGAGGGUCUGGGCGAGGAAGAGGAUAGCAGCUCUGAGCGCAGCUCCUGCACCUCGUCCUCCACCCACCCCCGCGAUGGGAAGUUCUGUGACUGCUGCUACUGUGAGUUCUUCGGCCACAAUGCGGGCAAAAGGAGAGGAAGUGGCAGAGAAAAAGCUAUGAU
RNAcentral lists this long non-coding RNA (1231 nucleotides) under Rattus norvegicus (Norway rat). RNAcentral's name for it is "long non-coding RNA NONRATT012263". The record is from RNAcentral. Lineage: Eukaryota; Metazoa; Chordata; Mammalia; Rodentia; Muridae.